This 396-nucleotide ribosomal RNA is filed under the name uncultured bacterium. RNAcentral describes it as "bacterial SSU rRNA". It matches the Rfam family "Bacterial small subunit ribosomal RNA", at positions 30 to 426 of the family's 1533-position model. The record is from RNAcentral.
AUUGAACGCUGGCGGAAUGCUUUACACAUGCAAGUCGAACGGCAGCACGGGAGCUUGCUCCUGGUGGCGAGUGGCGAACGGGUGAGUAAUGCGUCGGAACGUACCGAGUAAUGGGGGAUAACGCAGCGAAAGCUGUGCUAAUACCGCAUACGCCCUGAGGGGGAAAGUGGGGGAUCGCAAGACCUCACGUUAUUCGAGCGGCCGACGUCUGAUUAGCUAGUUGGUGGGGUAAAGGCCUACCAAGGCGACGAUCAGUAGCGGGUCUGAGAGGAUGAUCCGCCACACUGGAACUGAGACACGGUCCAGACUCCUACGGGAGGCAGCAGUGGGGAAUUUUGGACAAUGGGGGCAACCCUGAUCCAGCCAUUCCGCGUGUCUGAAGAAGGCCUCGGUUGU